UAUAAGAGGUCCAGCCUGCCCAGUGACCAAGUUCAACGGCCGCGGUAUCCUAACCGUGCGAAGGUAGCGUAAUCACUUGUUCUUUAAAUAAGGACUAGUAUGAACGGCACCACGAGGGUUAUACUGUCUCCUUUUUCCAAUCAAUGAAACUGAUCUUCCCGUGAAGAAGCGGGGAUACUUCUAUAAGACGAGAAGACCCUAUGGAGCUUCAAACCAAAUAGCAUCGGCUAUACCUUAAUAUUUUAAUCAAUAACUUUUAUUAUCGCCCUCUGACUAUUAGUUUUAGGUUGGGGUGACCGCGGAACAAAAAUUAACCUCCAUGGUGAAAACUUUUCCUGAGCCAAGAGCCACAGCUCUAAGCACCAAAACAUUGACACAAAUUGACCCAAUAACUUGAGCAACGAACCAAGUUACCCUAGGGAUAACAGCGCAAUCCACUUCAAGAGCUCCUAUCGACAAGUGGGUUUACGACCUCGAUGUUGGAUCAGGGUAUCCUAGUGGUGCAGCCGCUACUAACGGUUCGUUUGUUCAACGAUUAAAACCCU
This 545-nucleotide ribosomal RNA is filed under the name Dendropsophus elegans (elegant forest treefrog). Its description in RNAcentral is "partial large subunit ribosomal RNA". It matches the Rfam family "Bacterial large subunit ribosomal RNA", at positions 1844 to 2597 of the family's 2925-position model. Lineage: Eukaryota; Metazoa; Chordata; Amphibia; Anura; Hylidae. The record is from RNAcentral.